GAUGAAGAACGUAGCGAAAUGCGAUAAGUAAUGCGAAUUGCAGAAUUUCCGUGAGUCAUCGAAUCUUUGAACGCACAUUGCGCCCACUGGUAUUCCGGUGGGCAUGCCUGUUCGAGCGUCAUUAUCCUCCCUCAAACCCCGGGUUUGGUGUUGGACCCAAGUUGUGUGAAUAACUGGUCUCAAAGACAAUGACGGCGUCCGUGGGACCCUCGGUGCAACGAGCUUUUAGGAGCACGCAUCGAGUUGCAAGGACCUUCCGGGCCGGUCUCCUUUACCAUUUUACAAGGUUGACCUCGGAUCAGGUAGGAAUACCCGCUGAACUUAAGCAUAUCAAUAAGCGGAGGA
Molecule: unclassified non-coding RNA, 345 nt
Filed under: soil metagenome
Description: partial contains 5.8S ribosomal RNA, internal transcribed spacer 2, and large subunit ribosomal RNA
Rfam family: 5.8S ribosomal RNA (bases 1-121)
Source: RNAcentral